UGGGGAAUAUUGGACAAUGGGCGCAAGCCUGAUCCAGCAAUGCCGCGUGGAUGAAGAAGGUUUUCGGAUUGUAAAGUCCUUUCGGCGGGGACGAUGAUGACGGUACCCGCAGAAGAAGCCCCGGCUAACUUCGUGCCAGCAGCCGCGGUAAUACGAAGGGGGCUAGCGUUGCUCGGAAUGACUGGGCGUAAAGGGCGCGUAGGCGGCUUAGUCGGUCAGGCGUGAAAUUCCUGGGCUUAACCUGGGGGCUGCGCUUGAUACAGCUAGGCUGGAGUGUGGAAGAGGGUCGUGGAAUUCCCAGUGUAGAGGUGAAAUUCGUAGAUAUUGGGAAGAACACCGGUGGCGAAGGCGGCGACCUGGUCCAUUACUGACGCUGAGGCGCGAAAGCGUGGGGAGCAAACAGGAUUAGAUACCCCCGUAGUCC
Molecule: ribosomal RNA, 424 nt
Filed under: uncultured bacterium
Lineage: Bacteria
Description: bacterial SSU rRNA
Rfam family: Bacterial small subunit ribosomal RNA
Source: RNAcentral